Molecule: ribosomal RNA, 517 nt
Filed under: Stomatolepas transversa
Lineage: Eukaryota; Metazoa; Arthropoda; Thecostraca; Balanomorpha; Coronulidae
Description: partial 16S rRNA
Rfam family: Bacterial large subunit ribosomal RNA
Source: RNAcentral
UUCCUCUUGUUGAAGGGAGGUAAGGCCUGCUCACUGAGUUAUUAAAGAGCCGCAGUAUCCUGACUGUGCUAAGGUAGCAUAAUCAUUAGUCUUUUAAAUGGAGACUGGUAUGAAUGGUUUAACGAGAAAUCAGCUUUUUUUAUUAUAGAAAUUGAAUUUAACUUCUUAGUGAAAAGGCUAAGAUAGAUCAAAAAGACGAGAAGACCCUAUAGAGUUUUAUAGAUUUGUGGACCAUUUNUUGAAUAGAUUUACUCAAGAAGCGUUCUAAAAAUCUGUUUGGUUGGGGCGACAUUAAGAUAUAAAAAACUCUUUAUUUUAAAGAUUUUUAUGAAAAUAAUUAUUGAUCCUCUAUAUGAGAUUAUAAGAAAAAAUUACCUUAGGGAUAACAGCGUAAUCUUUUUUGAGAGUUCUAAUCGACAAAAAGGUUUGCGACCUCGAUGUUGGACUAAAAUUUGAGCAAGGUGCAGCAGCUUUGUUUCUAGGUCUGUUCGACCUAUAAAAUUUUACGUGAUCUGAG